UUACUUUGGCAGCACAUAUCCUCAAAGUUGGAAUGAUACAGAGUAGAUUUGCAUGGCUCCUGUCCAAGGGUACAUUCUUGUCACCUUUGCAUUUACCUAGAUUU
Molecule: small nuclear RNA, 104 nt
Filed under: Microtus ochrogaster (prairie vole)
Lineage: Eukaryota; Metazoa; Chordata; Mammalia; Rodentia; Cricetidae
Source: RNAcentral